CCUGCUCCCAACGGUUGGUAGUUGGUAGAGCAACGCACUAGUAACGCGGAGGUCAUGGGUUCAAAUCCCGUUGAAGAAAGA
Desmophyllum pertusum is the source of this 81-nucleotide non-coding RNA. The record is from the annotation of a GenBank genome assembly. NCBI's taxonomy places the organism in Eukaryota, Metazoa, Cnidaria, Anthozoa, Scleractinia, Caryophylliidae.